Molecule: ribosomal RNA, 656 nt
Filed under: uncultured bacterium
Lineage: Bacteria
Description: bacterial SSU rRNA
Rfam family: Bacterial small subunit ribosomal RNA
Source: RNAcentral
CACGUGAGCAAUCUGCCUUUCAGAGGGGGAUACCGAUUGGAAACGAUCGUUAAUACCGCAUAAUAUAAUUGAACCGCAUGAUUUGAUUAUCAAAGAUUUAUCGCUGUAAGAUGAGCUCGCGUCUGAUUAGCUAGUUGGUAAGGUAACGGCUUACCAAGGCGACGAUCAGUAGCCGGACUGAGAGGUUGAUCGGCCACAUUGGGACUGAGACACGGCCCAGACUCCUACGGGAGGCAGCAGUGGGGAAUAUUGCACAAUGGAGGAAACUCUGAUGCAGCGAUGCCGCGUGAGGGAAGAAGGUUUUAGGAUUGUAAACCUCUGUCUUCAGGGACGAAAAAAGACGGUACCUGAGGAGGAAGCUCCGGCUAACUACGUGCCAGCAGCCGCGGUAAUACGUAGGGAGCGAGCGUUGUCCGGAAUUACUGGGUGUAAAGGGAGCGUAGGCGGGAUCGCAAGUCAGAUGUGAAAACUAUGGGCUUAACCCAUAAACUGCAUUUGAAACUGUGGUUCUUGAGUGAAGUAGAGGUAAGCGGAAUUCCUAGUGUAGCGGUGAAAUGCGUAGAUAUUAGGAGGAACAUCAGUGGCGAAGGCGGCUUACUGGGCUUUAACUGACGCUGAGGCUCGAAAGCGUGGGGAGCAAACAGGAUUAGAUACCC